Molecule: non-coding RNA, 58 nt
Filed under: Chromera velia
Lineage: Eukaryota; Chromeraceae
Source: RNAcentral
CACAGAAAGAAUGAAACAAAGAAACAAACAAACAAAGAAAGAAAGAAGAAAACUUCAC